GAUGAACGCUGGCGGCGUGCCUAAUACAUGCAAGUCGAGCGAACAGACGAGGAGCUUGCUCCUCUGACGUUAGCGGCGGACGGGUGAGUAACACGUGGAUAACCUACCUAUAAGACUGGGAUAACUUCGGGAAACCGGAGCUAAUACCGGAUAAUAUAUUGAACCGCAUUGGUCAAUAGUGAAAGACGGGUUUGCUGUCACUUAUAGAUGGAUCCGCGCCGUAUUAGCUAGUUGGUAAGGUAACGGCUUACCAAGGAAACGAUGCGUAGCCGACCUGAGAGGGUGAUCGGCCACACUGGAACUGAGACACGGUCGAGACUCCUACGGGAGGCAGCAGUAGAGAAUCUUCCGCAAUGGGCGAAAGCCUGACGGAGCAACGCCGCGUGAGUGAUGAAGGUCUUCGGAUCGUAAAACUCUGUUAUUAGGGAAGAACAAAUGUGUAAGUAACUAUGCACGUCUUGACGGUACCGAAUCAGAAAGCCACGGCUAACUACGUG
This 497-nucleotide ribosomal RNA is filed under the name uncultured bacterium. Its description in RNAcentral is "partial 16S ribosomal RNA". It matches the Rfam family "Bacterial small subunit ribosomal RNA", at positions 28 to 507 of the family's 1533-position model. The record is from RNAcentral.